GCGGGAGUGGUGAAAUGGUAGCCACGCGGCGUUUAGGUCGCCGUGCCUUCGGGCGUGCGGGUUCGAUUCCCGUCUCCCGCACCA
Molecule: transfer RNA, 84 nt
Filed under: Cellulomonas sp.
Lineage: Bacteria; Bacillati; Actinomycetota; Actinomycetes; Micrococcales; Cellulomonadaceae
Also listed under: 2 other names
Description: tRNA-Leu
Rfam family: tRNA
About the family: Transfer RNA (tRNA) molecules are approximately 80 nucleotides in length. Their secondary structure includes four short double-helical elements and three loops (D, anti-codon, and T loops). Further hydrogen bonds mediate the characteristic L-shaped molecular structure. tRNAs have two regions of fundamental functional importance: the anti-codon, which is responsible for specific mRNA codon recognition, and the 3' end, to which the tRNAs corresponding amino acid is attached (by aminoacyl-tRNA synthetases). tRNAs cope with the degeneracy of the genetic code in two manners: having more than one tRNA (with a specific anti-codon) for a particular amino acid; and 'wobble' base-pairing, i.e. permitting non-standard base-pairing at the 3rd anti-codon position.
Source: RNAcentral